Molecule: ribosomal RNA, 253 nt
Filed under: uncultured bacterium
Lineage: Bacteria
Description: partial 16S ribosomal RNA
Rfam family: Bacterial small subunit ribosomal RNA
Source: RNAcentral
AACGUAGGGGACAAGCGUUAUCCGGAUUUACUGGGCGUAAAGCGCCCGUAGGCGGCCUGACAAGUUGGACGUGAAAGCUCCUGGCUUAACUGGGAGAGGCCGUUCAAAACUGUCAAGCUAGAGUCUGGAAGAGGAGAGCGGAAUUCCCGGUGUAGUGGUGGAAUGCGUAGAGAUCGGGAGGAACACCAGUGGCGAAAGCGACUUACUGGACACAUAUUGACGCUGAGGUGCGAAAGCGUGGGGAGCAAACAGG